Molecule: non-coding RNA, 30 nt
Filed under: Rattus norvegicus (Norway rat)
Lineage: Eukaryota; Metazoa; Chordata; Mammalia; Rodentia; Muridae
Source: RNAcentral
UUGCUCCAUAAUAUAGCUUAAUUUCAGGGA